UACGUAGGGAGCAAGCGUUGUUCGGAUUUACUGGGCGUAAAGGGCGCGUAGGCGGCGCGGUAAGUCACUUGUGAAAUCUCUGAGCUUAACUCAGAACGGCCAAGUGAUACUGCAGUGCUAGAGUGCAGAAAGGGCAAUCGGAAUUCUUGGUGUAGCGGUGAAAUGCGCAGAUAUCAGGAAGAACACCAAUUGCGAAGGCAGCUCGCUGGGACGUUACUGACGCUGAGACGCGAAAGCGUGGGGAGCAAACAGG
RNAcentral lists this ribosomal RNA (253 nucleotides) under uncultured bacterium. RNAcentral describes it as "partial 16S ribosomal RNA". It matches the Rfam family "Bacterial small subunit ribosomal RNA", at positions 524 to 776 of the family's 1533-position model. The record is from RNAcentral.